GGGUUCACCCAUUGGUCAGGCUUAAUUGUCUGUACUGGUGAGAUGAAUCUCUACCUUCUGAGGAACUUUCAUGCCAUUUAUUUGGUGUGAUUGGAAAUCAGGACUGUUACUUUGAAAAAAUUAGAGUGUUUAAAGCAGGCUAACGUCUGAAUACAUUAGCAUGGAAUAAUGAAAUAGGACGGACUGAUUCUAUUUCGUUGGUUUCUAGGAUCACCGUA
Molecule: ribosomal RNA, 218 nt
Filed under: Diversispora sp.
Lineage: Eukaryota; Fungi; Glomeromycota; Glomeromycetes; Diversisporales; Diversisporaceae
Description: partial small subunit ribosomal RNA
Rfam family: Eukaryotic small subunit ribosomal RNA (bases 46-218)
Source: RNAcentral